Molecule: ribosomal RNA, 490 nt
Filed under: uncultured bacterium
Lineage: Bacteria
Description: partial 16S ribosomal RNA
Rfam family: Bacterial small subunit ribosomal RNA
Source: RNAcentral
AGGGAAAGAUGGAGGCAGGCCUAACACAUGCAAGUCGAACGGUAACAGGAAGAAGCUUGCUUCUUUGCUGACGAGUGGCGGACGGGUGAGUAAUGUCUGGGAAACUGCCUGAUGGAGGGGGAUAACUACUGGAAACGGUAGCUAAUACCGCAUAACGUCGCAAGACCAAAGAGGGGGACCUUCGGGCCUCUUGCCAUCGGAUGUGCCCAGAUGGGAUUAGCUAGUAGGUGGGGUAACGGCUCACCUAGGCGACGAUCCCUAGCUGGUCUGAGAGGAUGACCAGCCACAUUGGAACUGAGACACGGUCCAGACGCCUACGGGAGGCAGCAGUGGGGAAUAUUGCACAAUGGGCGCAAGCCUGAUGCAGCCAUGCCGCGUGUAUGAAGAAGGCCUUCGGGUUGUAAAGUACUUUCAGCGGGGAGGAAGGGAGUAAAGUUAAUACCUUUGCUCAUUGACGUUACCCGCAGAAGAAGCACCGGCUAACUCCGUG